GGAAGUUUAGCUCAGUUGGGAGAGCAUCUGCCCUACAAGCAGAGGGUCGUAGGUUCGAGCCCUACAACUUCCACCA
RNAcentral lists this transfer RNA (76 nucleotides) under Christensenellaceae bacterium. RNAcentral describes it as "tRNA-Val". It matches the Rfam family "tRNA". From Rfam's summary of the family: Transfer RNA (tRNA) molecules are approximately 80 nucleotides in length. Their secondary structure includes four short double-helical elements and three loops (D, anti-codon, and T loops). Further hydrogen bonds mediate the characteristic L-shaped molecular structure. tRNAs have two regions of fundamental functional importance: the anti-codon, which is responsible for specific mRNA codon recognition, and the 3' end, to which the tRNAs corresponding amino acid is attached (by aminoacyl-tRNA synthetases). tRNAs cope with the degeneracy of the genetic code in two manners: having more than one tRNA (with a specific anti-codon) for a particular amino acid; and 'wobble' base-pairing, i.e. permitting non-standard base-pairing at the 3rd anti-codon position. Lineage: Bacteria; Bacillati; Bacillota; Clostridia; Christensenellales; Christensenellaceae. The record is from RNAcentral.